This 492-nucleotide ribosomal RNA is filed under the name uncultured bacterium. RNAcentral describes it as "partial 16S ribosomal RNA". It matches the Rfam family "Bacterial small subunit ribosomal RNA", at positions 29 to 507 of the family's 1533-position model. The record is from RNAcentral.
AGUGAACGCUGGCGGUAGGCAUAACACAUGCAAGUCGAACGGCAGCACAGUAAGAGCUUGCUCUUACGGGUGGCGAGUGGCGGACGGGUGAGGAAUACAUCGGAAUCUACUUUUUCGUGGGGGAUAACGUAGGGAAACUUACGCUAAUACCGCAUACGACCUACGGGUGAAAGCAGGGGAUCUUCGGACCUUGCGCGAUUGAAUGAGCCGAUGUCGGAUUAGCUAGUUGGCGGGGUAAAGGCCCACCAGGGCGACGAUCCGUAGCUGGUCUGAGAGGAUGGUCGGCCACACUGGAACUGAGACACGGUCCAGACUCCUACGGGAGGCGGCAGUGGGGAAUAUUGGACAGUGGGCGCAAGCCUGGUCCAGCCAUACCGAGUGGGUGAAGGAGGCCCUCGGGUUGUAAAGCCCUUUUGUUGGGAAAGAAAAGCAGCAGGUUAAUACCCCGCUGUUCUGACGGUACCCAAAGAAUAAGCACCGGCUAACUUCGUG